This is a small nuclear RNA of Monodelphis domestica (gray short-tailed opossum), 100 nucleotides long. Lineage: Eukaryota; Metazoa; Chordata; Mammalia; Didelphimorphia; Didelphidae. The record is from Ensembl.
UUUCUAUAGCAGCAAAUAUACUAAAAUUGGAAUUAUCCAAAGAUUAGAAUAGCUCCUGCACAAGAAUGACACAAAAAUUCAUGAAAUUAUACAAAACUGU